This 347-nucleotide ribosomal RNA is filed under the name uncultured bacterium. RNAcentral describes it as "partial 16S ribosomal RNA". It matches the Rfam family "Bacterial small subunit ribosomal RNA", at positions 338 to 682 of the family's 1533-position model. The record is from RNAcentral.
CCUACGGGAGGCAGCAGUGAGGAAUAUUGGUCAAUGGACGAGAGUCUGAACCAGCCAAGUAGCGUGAAGGAUGACUGCCCUAUGGGUUGUAAACUUCUUUUAUAUGGGAAUAAAAUGUGCCACGUGGGGGAUUUUGUAUGUACCAUAUGAAUAAGGAUAGGCUAACUCCGUGCCAGCAGACGCGGUAAUACGGAGGGUCCGAGCGUUAUCCGGAUUUAGUGGGUUUAAAGGGAGCGUAGUUGGUUUGUUAAGUCAGUUGUGAAGGUUUGCGGCUCACCCGUAAAAUUGCAGUUUAUACUGGCAGUCUUGAGUACAGUAGAGGUGGGCGGAAUUCGUGGUGUAGCGGU